UCGGGAAUUUUGCUCAAUGGGCGCAAGCCUGAAGCAGCAACGCCGCGUGAGGGAUGAAGGCCUUCGGGUUGUAAACCUCUUUUCUCAGGGACGAUGAUGACGGUACCUGAGGAAUAAGCCACGGCUAACUACGUGCCAGCAGCCGCGGUAAUACGUAGGUGGCAAGCGUUGUCCGGAUUUACUGGGCGUAAAGAGCGCGCAGGCGGUCGGAUCAGUCGAAUGUGAAAGCCCCCGGCUCAACUGGGGAGGGUCAUUCGAUACUGUUCGACUCGAAGGCAGGAGAGGGAAGCGGAAUUCCCGGUGUAGUGGUGAAAUGCGUAGAUAUCGGGAGGAACACCAGUGGCGAAGGCGGCUUUCUGGCCUGUUCUUGACGCUGAGGCGCGAAAGCUAGGGGAGCGAACGGG
Molecule: ribosomal RNA, 404 nt
Filed under: Bacillota bacterium
Lineage: Bacteria; Bacillati; Bacillota
Description: Firmicutes bacterium partial 16S ribosomal RNA
Rfam family: Bacterial small subunit ribosomal RNA
Source: RNAcentral